This 468-nucleotide ribosomal RNA is filed under the name uncultured bacterium. RNAcentral's name for it is "partial 16S ribosomal RNA". It matches the Rfam family "Bacterial small subunit ribosomal RNA", at positions 28 to 507 of the family's 1533-position model. The record is from RNAcentral.
GACGAACGCUGGCGGCGUGCUUAACACAUGCAAGUCGAACGGUGAAGCUCCAGCUUGCUGGAGUGGAUCAGUGGCGAACGGGUGAGUAACACGUGAGCAACCUGCCCCUGACUCUGGAAUAAGCGCUGGAAACGGCGUCUAAUACUGGAUACGAGAAGGGUCCGCAUGGGCACUUUCUGGAAAGAUGUGCGGUUGGGGAUGGGCUCGCGGCCUAUCAGCUUGUUGGUGAGGUAAUGGCUCACCAAGGCGACGACGGGUAGCCGGCCUGAGAGGGCGACCGGCCACACUGGGACUGAGACACGGACCAGACUCCAACGGGAGGCAGCAGUGGGGAAUAUUGCACAGUGGGCGAAAGCCUGAUGCAGCGACGCCGCGUGAGGGAUGACGGCCUUCGGGUUGUAAACCUCUUUCAGCAGGGAAGAAGCGAAAGUGACGGUACCUGCAGAAGAAGCACCGGCUAACUACGUG